ACUUGUGGUAAGAAAGGUGACCACUGGACGUCACGAUGCCCCUAUAAGGAUCUUGCUCCGCAGCCUGAAGGCUUCAUUGAUAAACCAGCAGCAGCUGAGCCUGUUGCUACUGCUGCUGCUGGAGCCACCAAGGGUGCAUAUGUGCCACCAAGCAUGCGAGCAGGUGCAGAAAGAACCGUUGGAUCAGAUAUGAGGCGCAGAAAUGAAGAGAAUUCAGUUCGUGUCACCAAUUUAUCAGAGGAUACUAGAGAGCCUGACUUGCUUGAACUGUUCCGUACAUUUGGUCCUGUUAGCCGAGUAUAUGUUGCUAUUGAUCAGAAGACUGGUGUUAGCAGGGGUUUUGGUUUUGUGAAUUUUGUAAACAAGGAAGAUGCUGAGAGGGC
This 383-nucleotide unclassified non-coding RNA is filed under the name Hevea brasiliensis (rubber tree). Lineage: Eukaryota; Viridiplantae; Streptophyta; Magnoliopsida; Malpighiales; Euphorbiaceae. The record is from RNAcentral.